GAUGAAGAACGCAGCGAAAUGCGAUACGUAAUGUGAAUUGCAGAAUUCAGUGAAUCAUCGAGUCUUUGAACGCACAUUGCGCCCCCUGGUAUUCCGGGGGGCAUGCCUGUCCGAGCGUCAUUGCUGCCCUCAAGCACGGCUUGUGUGUUGGGCCUCCGUCCUCCUCCCGGGGGACGGGCCCGAAAGGCAGCGGCGGCACCGCGUCCGGUCCUCGAGCGUAUGGGGCUUCGUCACCCGCUCUUGUAGGCCCGGCCGGCGCUUGCCGACACAUCAAUCUUUUUUCCAGGUUGACCUCGGAUCAGGUAGGGAUACCCGCUGAACUUAAGCAUAUCAAAAGCGGAGGA
RNAcentral lists this unclassified non-coding RNA (344 nucleotides) under soil metagenome. RNAcentral describes it as "partial contains 5.8S ribosomal RNA, internal transcribed spacer 2, and large subunit ribosomal RNA". The stretch from base 1 to 120 matches the Rfam family "5.8S ribosomal RNA", at positions 35 to 154 of the family's 154-position model. The record is from RNAcentral.